CGGGACUGCCCGUCCGAGACGCCCAAGGCAAAAGCGAGUUUUUCUCUGGCUUUCAAGAGAGGGGAGAGCAAGUGCUGCUCAAACCUGUUCCUCUCCAGGAAUUGGGGAGAGGUAGCCCGAACGAUGCCCCACGCGCGGCGGAAGACGGGCUGGUUCCCGAAGCCCUGUAUGGUCCCUCUGAUAACCACCGCGGCGGCUGUUCCUCACGCUGGAGGCUCAUUAGGGUUCCUGGGGCCAGUCCAAGAAAUUGCCAAGGACAAGACAGGCAGCCUCCGCCUGGAAACUCCGCGGAGCCCGCUCCCCUCAGAGGCCCUUCCUUCAGCGUGAGCGAGGGGGGAGCGCAGCGAGGUCACACGCGGUCCCCUUACUAGAUGGCUGUCAGUGUCUCAGGGUCCCGGCCUCUCCUGAGCCCUGGGGUCUUCGAGGGCCCAUCUUACUCCUCUUCCCCGAAACAGCCUUUCAAAUCCAGGCAAACCUUGGACGGCGACUAACUUGUUCUGCGGGCGUCCCACAAGACAGGCCGGCUUUUCUAAUAAAUUUUAACUUGAUAAACGAGCGAUGUCUUGCAACACAAGUCGACCGAGCCGCCGCAUGUCACGUGAUCACAACGGAG
This is a long non-coding RNA of Prionailurus viverrinus (fishing cat), 613 nucleotides long. RefSeq lists it as uncharacterized. The transcript has 3 exons. NCBI's taxonomy places the organism in Eukaryota, Metazoa, Chordata, Mammalia, Carnivora, Felidae. The record is from RefSeq and is a predicted model, not a curated record.